Molecule: ribosomal RNA, 305 nt
Filed under: uncultured bacterium
Lineage: Bacteria
Description: bacterial SSU rRNA
Rfam family: Bacterial small subunit ribosomal RNA
Source: RNAcentral
CCUACGGGGCGCAGCAGUGAGGAAUAUUGGUCAAUGGGCGAGAGCCUGAACCAGCCAAGUCGCGUGAGGGAUGACUGCCCUAUGGGUUGUAAACCUCUUUUGUAUGGGGGGAAUAAGCUUUACGAGUAGAGUGAUGACAGUACCAUACGAAUAAGCAUCGGCUAACUCCGUGCCAGCAGCCGCGGUAAUACGGAGGAUGCGAGCGUUAUCCGGAUUUAUUGGGUUUAAAGGGUGCGUAGGCGGACUGGAAAGUCAGCGGUAAAAUCGAGAGGCUCAACCUCUUUCCGCCGUUGAAACUGUCGGUC